GAGCUCGUAGCUUAGUUUGGUGGAGCACCCGACUGAUAAUCGGGAGGCCCGAGGUUCAAAUCCUCGCGGGCUCA
Molecule: transfer RNA, 74 nt
Filed under: Nanobdellota archaeon
Lineage: Archaea; Nanobdellati; Nanobdellota
Description: tRNA-Ile
Rfam family: tRNA
About the family: Transfer RNA (tRNA) molecules are approximately 80 nucleotides in length. Their secondary structure includes four short double-helical elements and three loops (D, anti-codon, and T loops).
Source: RNAcentral